Molecule: ribosomal RNA, 245 nt
Filed under: uncultured bacterium
Lineage: Bacteria
Description: partial 16S ribosomal RNA
Rfam family: Bacterial small subunit ribosomal RNA
Source: RNAcentral
UACAGAGACUGCAAGCGUUGUUCGGAUUCAUUGGGCGUAAAGGGUGCGCAGGCGGUGCGUUAAGUCGGAUGUGAAAUCUCACAGCCUAACUGUGAUAGGUCAUUCGAAACUGGCGCGCUUGAGGACUGGAGAGGAGACUGGAAUGGUCGGUGUAGCGGUGAAAUGCGUAGAGAUCGACCAGAACACCGGUGGCGAAGGCGGGUCUCUGGACAGUUCCUGACGCUCAGGCACGAAAGCUAGGGGAG